AUUGAUGUAUGAAUAUGGUGGAGGCCCAGAUGACUCUCUUCAUCACAGCUCCGUUCAACUAACUGAAGAAUAUAUUGUUUCAAUGUCGACCCUUCUGAUGAACGGCAAAUAUGAAGACUGCAGUAAAGUCGGGUUAAACCCCUUCUGCAAACUUAACCCAGCGCCAGAGGUAAGAAACUCAUGACCUCUUUCUCUUUGUAUUUUCCUCAGCAGUUUUAAAUACCUGCAUGACCUUGUUUACUUGUUCACAUGCUAAAUCUGACUUUUGGAAAGCCAAGUAUGACCAUGAAGCCGCCAAGAAGGCUAGAGCCACCACCAUAAACGCCAAGAAAAU
Molecule: long non-coding RNA, 334 nt
Filed under: Triticum aestivum (bread wheat)
Lineage: Eukaryota; Viridiplantae; Streptophyta; Magnoliopsida; Poales; Poaceae
Description: long non-coding RNA (TAES_LNC005684)
Source: RNAcentral